RNAcentral lists this small RNA (148 nucleotides) under Callithrix jacchus (white-tufted-ear marmoset). Its description in RNAcentral is "Metazoan signal recognition particle RNA (ENSCJAG00000083724.1)". Lineage: Eukaryota; Metazoa; Chordata; Mammalia; Primates; Cebidae. The record is from Rfam by way of RNAcentral.
GCUGGGCACUGUGGUGUGUGCCUGUCAUCCCAGCUACUUGGGAGGCUGAGGCAGAAGAAUCACUUGAACCUGGGAGGUGAAGUUUGCAGUGAACCAGGAUCCUGCCACUGCACUUCAGCCUGGGUGACAGAGUGAGACUCUGUCUCAA